AGUAGGUGAUGCCGGCCAAAUUUUACAAUCAGAGAUUCAAACUUGGCUGGUUUCGUCCAUUCAAAUACUGGUCUGACAUAGUUUCAUUCUCUUUACCCUCAAACUAUUCCCAUGUAUUCAACCCCAUCUAAAUCGGGACACAUGUACGGCGGGGGUAAGAAAAAAGCCCCUUGAUGGAUGAUUCAUGGAAUUGAGGAUGGCCAAGAUGCAUCCGUUCAACGAAAUGCGACAAAUUUAUAAUCACGCAACUAAAGUACCAAAUCGAACUCGAAAAGUCCGUGUUGAGGUCAUGCCGUGUUGACUGUUGUAUAUAUUAGAAGUGUCAAGAGGCCACUGAGAAGCCGCACUCAGGAAUUUCUCUUCAGUUCGUACCCGUACCUACCCGUACCCAUCCAGCCACCAUGGAAUCUCAAUCGAAUUUUGGAAAAGGGUGGAACACGAACGCAGACGUCCGAAGGUUGCACGAGCUAAAGCGAGAGAAGGACAUCGUCGAGGAGGAACAUCGUCGAGCGACAGAGAAAGACAAGAAAUUGGCUGAAAUGAUUGCAAAGUUAGAAGAAGAGAUUAGCCGCAAAGAGUCAUUGGACGGACAGGUCAUUACUUUAACGGAGAAUUUGAGCAUCUCUGGGGAUGCACCGAUGCAGAUGGUGCAAAAAAUAUGUCAAUUGGGAGUGGACGCUCAAAAAUAGGUAGAAAAUCCAGAGGAUGUUUGGCUAAAACAAUUUGAAAAGGACUUGUUUCAAGCCAUACGCGAGAUAGUCCUGCAUUUUGAUCAAUUUGACAUAGAGUAAACGUCCUCAAGACUUUUUAGCCUGAUUUACAAGCGAACUUCUUGUUGGUUUUGAAUUUGAACAUGCCGUGACCUACCUCUCCUUUAAUGAAAAAUAAAUGCGAACUUUUUUCUCUCUAUAAAA
Long non-coding RNA from Tigriopus californicus, 914 nucleotides. RefSeq lists it as uncharacterized. NCBI's taxonomy places the organism in Eukaryota, Metazoa, Arthropoda, Copepoda, Harpacticoida, Harpacticidae. The transcript is spliced from 2 exons. The record is from RefSeq and is a predicted model, not a curated record.